GUGUCAGCAGCCGCGGUAAGACGAACCGUGCGAACGUUGUUCGGAUUCACUGGGCUUAAAGGGCGCGUAGGCGGGCAUCCAAGUCAGGGGUGAAAGCCCCCGGCCCAACCGGGGAAGUGCCUUUGAUACUGGAUGCCUCGAGCGGGAUAGGGGCAGCUGGAACUUUCGGUGGAGCGGUGAAAUGCGUAGAUAUCGGAAGGAACGCCGGUGGCGAAAGCGAGCUGCUGGAUCCCUCCUGACGCUGAGGCGCGAAAGCCAGGGUAGCGAACGGGAUUAGAUACCCCAGUAGUCC
This 292-nucleotide ribosomal RNA is filed under the name uncultured bacterium. RNAcentral describes it as "partial 16S ribosomal RNA". It matches the Rfam family "Bacterial small subunit ribosomal RNA", at positions 505 to 796 of the family's 1533-position model. The record is from RNAcentral.